CCUGUAGUCGAAAAUGUUGUCUCUCUUGAGUGGAUCCUGAGUACGACGGAGCACGUGAAAUUCCGUCGGAAUCUGGGAGGACCAUCUCCUAAGGCUAAAUACUCUCUAGUGACCGAUAGUGAACCAGUACCGUGAGGGAAAGGUGAAAAGCACCCCGGAAGGGGAGUGAAAUAGAACCUGAAACCGUGUGCUUACAAGUAGUCAGAGCCCGUUAAUGGGUGAUGGCGUGCCUUUUGUAGAAUGAACCGGCGAGUUACGAUUUGAUGCAAGGUUAAGCAGUAAAUGUGGAGCCGUAGCGAAAGCGAGUCUGAAUAGGGCGUUUAGUAUUUGGUCGUAGACCCGAAACCAGGUGAUCUACCCUUGGUCAGGUUGAAGUUCAGGUAACACUGAAUGGAGGACCGAACCGACUUACGUUGAAAAGUGAGCGGAUGAACUGAGGGUAGCGGAGAAAUUCCAAUCGAACCUGGAGAUAGCUGGUUCUCUCCGAAAUAGCUUUAGGGCUAGCCUCAAGUGAUGAUUAUUGGAGGUAGAGCACUGUUUGGACGAGGGGCCCCUCUCGGGUUACCGAAUUCAGACAAACUCCGAAUGCCAAUUAAUUUAACUUGGGAGUCAGAACAUGGGUGAUAAGGUCCGUGUUCGAAAGGGAAACAGCCCAGACCACCAGCUAAGGUCCCAAAAUAUAUGUUAAGUGGAAAAGGAUGUGGCGUUGCCCAGACAACUAGGAUGUUGGCUUAGAAGCAGCCAUCAUUUAAAGAGUGCGUAAUAGCUCACUAGUCGAGUGACACUGCGCCGAAAAUGUACCGGGGCUAAACAUAUUACCGAAGCUGUGGAUUGUCCUUUGGACAAUGGUAGGAGAGCGUUCUAAGGGCGUUGAAGCAUGAUCGUAAGGACAUGUGGAGCGCUUAGAA
This 908-nucleotide ribosomal RNA is filed under the name Staphylococcus aureus. RNAcentral's name for it is "partial 23S ribosomal RNA". It matches the Rfam family "Bacterial large subunit ribosomal RNA", at positions 372 to 1287 of the family's 2925-position model. The record is from RNAcentral. Lineage: Bacteria; Bacillati; Bacillota; Bacilli; Caryophanales; Staphylococcaceae.